CGAGUAUCUAUUGGAGGGCAAGUCUGGUGCCAGCAGCCGCGGUAAUUCCAGCUCCAAUAGCGUAUAUUAAAGUUGCUGCGGUUAAAAAGCUCGUAGUUGGAUCUCAGUCUCGAUCGGACGGUCUGCUAUUUGGCGGUACUGGACGAAUCGGACAUUCCGCCGCCUUUUGCAGUAUGCUCUUGACUGAGUGUAUUGUGACAGUGGCAAAUUUACUUUGAAAAAAUUAGAGUGCUCAAAGCAGGCAAUCGCCUGAAUCUUCGUGCAUGGAAUGAUGGAAUAGGGCCUCGGUUCUAUUUUGUUGGUUUCCGGAACUCGAGGUAAUGAUUAAGAGGGACGGACGGGGGCAUUCGUAUUGCGACGUUAGAGGUGAAAUUCUUAGAUCGUCGCAAGACGAACUACUGCGAAAGCAUUUGCCAAGAAUGUUUUCAUUAAUCAAGAACGAAAGUUAGAGGUUCGAAGGCGAUCAGAUACCGCCCUAGUUCUAACCAUAAACGAUGCUGACUAGCGAUCCGCUGGCGUUACAACACAUGACCCAGCGGGCAGCUUCCGGGAAACCAAAGUUUCUAUGUUCCGGGGGAAGUAUGCGUUGCAAAACUGGAACUUAAAGGAAUUGACGGAAGGGCACCACCAGGAGUGGAGCCUGUGGCUUAAUUUGACUCAACACGGGAAAUCUCACCAGGCCCGGACACCGGCAGGAUUGACAGAUUGAUAGCUCUUUCUUGAUUCGGUGGGUGGUGGUGCAUGGCCGUUCUUAGUUGGUGGAGUGAUUUGUCUGGUUAAUUCCGAUAACGAACGAGACCCCGUCCUACUUACUAGACCGAGGAUCCUUUUGUUCUCGCUGUCUUCUUAGAGGGACAAAUGAUUUUACCUUGAACUACAUGAAAUGGGGCAAUAACAGGUCUGUGAUGCCCUUAGAUGUUCUGGGCUGCACACGCGCUACACUGAAGGGAUCAUCGUGUUCUGCUAGCUCGAAAGAGCUUGCCAACCCGUUGAAUUCUCUUCGUGCUAGGGAUUGAGGCUUGCAAUUGUUUCUCAUGAACGAGGAAUUCCCAGUAAGUGCAAGUCAUAAGCUUGCGCUGAUUACGUCCCUGCCCUUUGUACACACCGCCCGUCGCUACUACCGAUUGAAUGAUUUAGUGAGGAUCUCGGACUGGCUACUCGCGGGGUAACACCUGCAAGCAGCUCGGGAAGAAAUUCGAACUGUAUCAUUUAGAGGAA
This 1218-nucleotide ribosomal RNA is filed under the name Loxocauda sp. 1 HTMP-2022a. Its description in RNAcentral is "SSU rRNA". It matches the Rfam family "Eukaryotic small subunit ribosomal RNA", at positions 538 to 1781 of the family's 1831-position model. The record is from RNAcentral. Lineage: Eukaryota; Metazoa; Arthropoda; Ostracoda; Podocopida; Loxoconchidae.